AAACUUGAACUUUUGGGAUUGAUACCAUAAGUUUGUCUGUUAGGUAAUUUUUCUCUUAGACACUAAACUGUUUAAUAUAGGUUUUAAACAACUACAUCUUUGAAUAGCAGUAGCUCCUCACAAUUUUUGCUUAUUUAACCGAGUAUUUGGAGCCAAGAUCCAGUUUGCCUUGCUGUAAGUUAAUGUUGAUUACUAUUUCUCUGCCUCAAGUGGGUAGUCUUGUCUUUUCCUAGCCAGUGUAUUGCUUCUUUUGAAUGACUCAUUGUAAAUAGUACUCCUUCCGUCCCAAAAUGUUUUUUUGUACUAAUCCAUUGAUCCUCUGUUUCAUUUCAGGGAUUAGGGUGCCGACACAUCGUCGCCAGCCGCAGGGUUGUGACACCUUGCUAGGUGCUCGCCGUGUCCUACAUCUCUGUAGGAACACGUCAGGCAGGAGCUCAGCCCCACAUCCUGGCUCAAGUUUUGUCCUCAUUCCUACUUGGAAUUAAUGAUAAUUGAACAUGGAAACUGAGGAACGUUAGAGCAGCACAAUCUUCAUAAAGAAAAGCAAUCUUAAUUUAGGCACGGAUAUUGAUCUACAAAUUUGAGGUAGAAAAAUAUUUGUUUUCCUAGGUACUAACUCGCAAGUGUUCUACAAAUUCAGUGAAUAAAAAAAUGUAGAUCAAACAUGAGAUCCUACUGACAGACACCACCAAUUAUAUUGAAUGAAGUGGCAUCCUUUUGUGGGCAGGUAAAAGAGCAGCCCUAUUUUUGGUAAAGCUUGCUUGCCUUUCAGUAUUUUUGGUUACAUUGUGUGCUUCCAGUUCCUCUGUUUUGCUCUGAUUUGUUGAUCUUCUGUACUGCCUCUGUAUCAAAAUACCCUCUCGAUCUCAAGAUGUGUUGAUUUGAUUGGGCUGCUGUUCGAUUCAGUGCUUCCGAGCGAGGAAGACUGCGAGGGGUUGGACGUGCAAUGGCCUAGCGGAGUUGUCUGCGCCGCGACGCCGCCGGUAUGGAGGCCCGGGCUCGGGCUUAACUCAGCAAGCUUUAGUGCUUAUUUGUUAUUAAUCGUUGGUUCUGACCAUGUCAGUAGCGUCCCCUCGUCGUCGACGGCGGCUCAGGGAAAUUGAGGAAGGAGGCGAGUCUGUCCCACGGCGUCGCUGUCGGGGAGCACUAAGGGAGCUCCCUGUCUUGGUUUGCAGCAAGUAUGUUCUGCACGCCGCCGCCAGCCACAAGCAUCACGGCGAGGAGGACAAAAGUGAGAAUGGUACCUUCGACAAAUCAAUCUCAUUCCCCCCUUCUUUGCGACGCAGAUAGAUCACACUGAUUCAACAAGUAUGUCCUAUUUGUUGUUCACAAAUUAAACAUUAAGGCAAUUAGGAUCUGGAUCUUUGAGAUGUUUAGCUUUACAUGUUCAUUAGGGAUUUGUUGUUGCUGAAAGAGAGCAAAAUAGAGGGAAUAUCCUUUUCCAAAAAAAGUUUACAUAUUGAGUUGCACGCAUGUACUUUAGAAUGUAAUCUUGGUGUUCAAACUGCAUUAUACCAUUACUAAAAAGAUUUGGAAUUUAUCUUGUAUGUGAUUGGUUUGUAGGGCUGUAGGCUGGUGAGGUCUGGUUAUAGCACAAUGCUUCAGACUAAUAUCAAAGGAAUAAAUUGAUCAAUAAGUUUCAGCCAUGGUUA
Non-coding RNA from Aegilops tauschii subsp. strangulata, 1652 nucleotides. Lineage: Eukaryota; Viridiplantae; Streptophyta; Magnoliopsida; Poales; Poaceae. The record is from RefSeq and is a predicted model, not a curated record.